GACAGAGGGACCUAGCGUUGUUCGGAAUGACUGGGCGUAAAGGGUGCGUAGGUGGUUGUUUAAGUAGAGUGUUAAAGCCCCAGGCUCAACCUGGGAAUCGCAUUCUAUACUGGGCAACUAGAGUAUGGCAGAGGAAAAUGGAAUUCCUAGUGUAGAGGUGAAAUUCGUAGAUAUUAGGAGGAACACCAGAGGCGAAGGCGAUUUUCUGGGCCAUUACUGACACUGAGGCACGAAAGCGUGGGGAGCAAACAGG
This 253-nucleotide ribosomal RNA is filed under the name uncultured bacterium. RNAcentral describes it as "partial 16S ribosomal RNA". It matches the Rfam family "Bacterial small subunit ribosomal RNA", at positions 524 to 776 of the family's 1533-position model. The record is from RNAcentral.